Molecule: ribosomal RNA, 460 nt
Filed under: uncultured bacterium
Lineage: Bacteria
Description: partial 16S ribosomal RNA
Rfam family: Bacterial small subunit ribosomal RNA
Source: RNAcentral
CCUACGGGAGGCUGCAGUGAGGAAUAUUGGUCAAUGGGCGCAAGCCUGAACCAGCCAAGUCGCGUGAGGGAUGACGGUCCUAUGGAUUGUAAACCUCUUUUGUCGGGGAGCAAGGCCCGCCACGUGUGGCGGGAAGGAGAGUACCCGAAGAAAAAGCAUCGGCUAACUCCGUGCCAGCAGCCGCGGUAAAACGGAGGAUGCGAGCGUUAUCCGGAUUUAUUGGGUUUAAAGGGUGCGUAGGCGGAAGGUUAAGUCAGCGGUAAAAUGUCGGUGCUCAACACCGGCCUGCCGUUGAAACUGGUCUUCUUGAGUGAGCGAGAAGUAUGCGGAAUGCGUGGUGUAGCGGUGAAAUGCAUAGAUAUCACGCAGAACUCCGAUUGCGAAGGCAGCAUACCGGCGCUCAACUGACGCUGAGGCACGAAAGCGUGGGGAUCGAACAGGAUUAGAUACCCCUGUAGUC